CACUCCCUGGCAAUGGACAAAGAGAUACCUUGUUGGUGUUUUUCUUCUAUCAGUCAGGAGUAAAGCAGAUGACAGUCCUUUGCACAUCCUAGCCUGAUGCCUGGCUUGGUGGCUAAAGCUGUUUUAUGCCUAGGACUGAUAA
Molecule: small nucleolar RNA, 142 nt
Organism: Apodemus sylvaticus (European woodmouse)
Lineage: Eukaryota; Metazoa; Chordata; Mammalia; Rodentia; Muridae
Product: small nucleolar RNA SNORA48
Exons: 1
Source: RefSeq, a predicted model, not a curated record